RNAcentral lists this ribosomal RNA (524 nucleotides) under uncultured bacterium. RNAcentral's name for it is "partial 16S ribosomal RNA". It matches the Rfam family "Bacterial small subunit ribosomal RNA", at positions 28 to 523 of the family's 1533-position model. The record is from RNAcentral.
GACGAACGCUGGCGGCGUGCCUAAUACAUGCAAGUCGGGCGCAGGAAAUCGACGGAACCCUUCGGGGGGAAGUCGACGGAAUGAGCGGCGGACGGGUGAGUAACACGUAAAGAACCUGCCCUCAGGUCUGGGAUAACCACGAGAAAUCGGGGCUAAUACCGGAUGGGUCAUCGGACCGCAUGGUCCGAGGAUGAAGGGCGCUUCGGCGUCGCCUGGGGAUGGCUUUGCGGUGCAUUAGCUAGUUGGUGGGGUAAUGGCCCACCAAGGCGACGAUGCAUAGCCGACCUGGGAGGGUGAUCGGCCACACUGGGACGGAGACACGGCCCAGACUCCUACGGGAGGCAGCAGUAGGGAAUCUUCCACAAUGGACGAAAGUCUGAUGGAGCAACGCCGCGUGAACGAUGAAGGCCUUCGGGUCGUAAAGUUCUGUUGUAAGGGAAGAACAAGUGCCGCAGGCAAUGGCGGCACCUUGACGGUACCUUGCGAGAAAGCCACGGCUAACUACGUGCCAGCCGCCGCAGUAA